Molecule: ribosomal RNA, 450 nt
Filed under: uncultured Alphaproteobacteria bacterium
Lineage: Bacteria; Pseudomonadati; Pseudomonadota; Alphaproteobacteria
Description: bacterial SSU rRNA
Rfam family: Bacterial small subunit ribosomal RNA
Source: RNAcentral
GGCCUAACACAUGCAAGUCGAACGAUAAGCCACCUUCGGGUGGUGGACAGUGGCAGACGGGUGAGUAACGCGUGGGAACGUGCCUUUCGGUUCGGAAUAACCCAGGGAAACUUGGGCUAAUACCGGAUACGCCCUUCGGGGGAAAGUUCAUUGCCGAAAGAUCGGCCCGCGUCGGAUUAGCUAGUUGGUGGGGUAAUGGCUCACCAAGGCGACGAUCCGUAGCUGUCUGAGAGGAUGACCAGCCACACUGGGACUGAGACACGGCCCAGACUCCUACGGGAGGCAGCAGUGGGGAAUAUUGGAAAUGGGCGCAAGCCUGAUCCAGCCAUGCCGCGUGGGUGAAGAAGGCCUUAGGGUUGUAAACCCCUUUCAGCGGGGAAGAUAUGACGGUACCCGCAGAAGAAGUCCCGGCUAACUCCGUGCCAGCAGCCGCGGUAAUACGGAGGGGAC